GAUGAAGAACGUAGCGAAAUGCGAUAAGUAGUGUGAAUUGCAGAAUUCAGUGAAUCAUCGAAUCUUUGAACGCACAUUGCGCCCCCUGGCAUUCCGGGGGGCAUGCCUGUCCGAGCGUCAUUGCUGCCCUUCAAGCCCGGCUUGUGUGUUGGGUCGUCGUCCCCCCCGGGGGACGGGCCCGAAAGGCAGCGGCGGCACCGCGUCCGGUCCUCGAGCGUAUGGGGCUUUGUCACCCGCUCGAUUAGGGCCGGCCGGGCGCCAGCCGGCGUCUCCAACCUUCUAUUUUACCAGGUUGACCUCGGAUCAGGUAGGGAUACCCGCUGAACUUAAGCAUAUCAUAAGCGGAGGA
This 349-nucleotide unclassified non-coding RNA is filed under the name soil metagenome. RNAcentral's name for it is "partial contains 5.8S ribosomal RNA, internal transcribed spacer 2, and large subunit ribosomal RNA". The stretch from base 1 to 120 matches the Rfam family "5.8S ribosomal RNA", at positions 35 to 154 of the family's 154-position model. The record is from RNAcentral.